RNAcentral lists this transfer RNA (69 nucleotides) under Munidopsis verrilli. Its description in RNAcentral is "tRNA-Lys". Lineage: Eukaryota; Metazoa; Arthropoda; Malacostraca; Decapoda; Munidopsidae. The record is from RNAcentral.
UCAUCCGAUGACUGAAAUUUUAAGUGUGGGUCUUUUAAACCCAUUAUAGUAGCUCCUACUUCCGAUGAU